This 271-nucleotide ribosomal RNA is filed under the name uncultured archaeon. Its description in RNAcentral is "partial 16S ribosomal RNA". It matches the Rfam family "Archaeal small subunit ribosomal RNA", at positions 477 to 747 of the family's 1478-position model. The record is from RNAcentral.
CAGCGCCACGAGUCGCAGUCGCGAUUAUUGGGCCUAAAGCGUCCGUAGCCGGACCUGUAAAUCUUUUGUGAAAUCGUCAAGCUCAACUUGACGGCGUGCAGAAGACACUGCAGGUCUUGAGACCGGGAGGAGUCAGAAGUAUUCUUGGGGGAACGGUAAAAUGUUAUAAUCCCAGGAGGACUACCGAUGGCGAAGGCAUCUGACCAGAACGGAUCUGACGGUGAGGGACGAAAGCUAGGGGAGCGAACCGGAUUAGAUACCCGAGUAGUCC